GGACCCGUAGCUCAGCCAGGAUAGAGUGCUGGCCUUCGGAGCCAGUGGUCCCGGGUUCAAAUCCCGGCGGGUCCG
Molecule: transfer RNA, 75 nt
Filed under: Sulfolobales archaeon HS-7
Lineage: Archaea; Thermoproteati; Thermoproteota; Thermoprotei; Sulfolobales
Rfam family: tRNA
About the family: Transfer RNA (tRNA) molecules are approximately 80 nucleotides in length.
Source: Rfam by way of RNAcentral